CUGGAGUUUGGUCUCCACGGGAACGGUGAAUGAGCGUAGGCGGUGGGUGGGGCCCACCCCCUUCCCGUUAUAUUAUUUUUGUACUCUCCUUUUGUCUUCCUCUCCCGAACCCGGCACCCCCCCACCACCCGCGUUCUCAGACUGGCCUUCCAUCCCACUUCUCAUUCUCUCCUCCUACCCUUCUCCCGAUUCGUCAUCUCUUCAUCCGUUCUUCUCCUCACUCUUCGCCUCCUUCCCUUUCUCUCUCGUUUUCCCAGUCUUUUUCCCCAUA
This 271-nucleotide long non-coding RNA is filed under the name Musa acuminata (dwarf banana). RNAcentral describes it as "long non-coding RNA (MACU_LNC010315)". Lineage: Eukaryota; Viridiplantae; Streptophyta; Magnoliopsida; Zingiberales; Musaceae. The record is from RNAcentral.